RNAcentral lists this ribosomal RNA (497 nucleotides) under uncultured bacterium. RNAcentral describes it as "partial 16S ribosomal RNA". It matches the Rfam family "Bacterial small subunit ribosomal RNA", at positions 28 to 507 of the family's 1533-position model. The record is from RNAcentral.
GAUGAACGCUGGCGGCGUGCCUAAUACAUGCAAGUCGAGCGAAAAGAUGAGGAGCUUGCUCCACUGACGUUAGCGGCGGACGGGUGAGUAACACGUGGAUAACCUACCUAUAAGACUGGGCUAACUUCGGGAAACCGGAGCUAAUACCGGAUAAUAUAUGUAAACGCAUGGUUCAAUAGUGAAAGACGGUUUUGCUGUCAAUUAUAGAUGGAUCCGCGCCGCAUUAGCUAGUUGGUAAGGUAACGGCUUACCAAGGCAACGAUGCGUAGCCGACCUGAGAGGAUGAUCGGCCCCACUGGAACUGAGACACGGUCCAGACUCCUACGGGAGGCAGCAGUAGGGAAUCGUCCGCAAUGGGCUGAAGCCUGACGUAGCAACGCCGCGUGAGUGAUGAAGGUCUUCGGAUCGUAAAACUCUGUUAUUAGUGAAGAACAAAUGUGUAAGUAACUAUGCACGUCUUGACGGUACCUAAUCAGAAAGCCACGGCUAACUACGUG